Molecule: ribosomal RNA, 2073 nt
Filed under: Triticum aestivum (bread wheat)
Lineage: Eukaryota; Viridiplantae; Streptophyta; Magnoliopsida; Poales; Poaceae
Description: partial small subunit ribosomal RNA
Source: RNAcentral
CCCAAACCAACAAACCAACACAGCCGCAACCUGAUCGCGUUAUCCACCCCGCCGCACUGACAUUCCCCCGAGCGACAGAAAUGGCCGGCGCAACAAUGGCCACCGCCACCGUCGCGGCCGCGUCGCCGCUCCGCGGCAGGGUCACCGGGCGCCCACACCGCGUCCGCCCGCGUUGCGCUACCGCGAGCAGCGCGACCGAGACUCCGGCGGCGCCCGGCGUGCGGCUGUCCGCGGAAUGCGUCAUUGUGGGCGCCGGCAUCAGCGGCCUCUGCACCGCGCAGGCGCUGGCCACCCGAUACGGCGUCAGCGACCUGCUCGUCACGGAGGCCCGCGACCGCCCGGGCGGCAACAUCACCACCGUCGAGCGUCCCGACGAGGGGUACCUGUGGGAGGAGGGACCCAACAGCUUCCAGCCCUCCGACCCGGUCCUCACCAUGGCCGUGGACAGCGGGCUCAAGGAUGACUUGGUGUUCGGGGACCCCAACGCGCCCCGGUUCGUGCUGUGGGAGGGGAAGCUGAGGCCGGUGCCGUCGAAGCCAGGCGACCUGCCUUUCUUCAGCCUCAUGAGUAUCCCUGGGAAGCUCAGGGCCGGCCUUGGCGCGCUCGGCAUUCGCCCACCUCCUCCAGGGCGCGAGGAGUCGGUGGAGGAGUUUGUGCGCCGCAACCUCGGUGCCGAGGUCUUUGAGCGCCUCAUCGAGCCUUUCUGCUCAGGUGUAUAUGCUGGUGAUCCUUCGAAGCUUAGUAUGAAGGCUGCAUUUGGGAAGGUCUGGAGGUUGGAGGAGAUUGGAGGUAGUAUUAUUGGUGGAACCAUCAAGGCGAUUCAGGAUAAAGGGAAGAACCCCAAACCGCCAAGGGAUCCCCGACUUCCGGCACCAAAGGGACAGACGGUGGCAUCUUUCAGGAAGGGUCUAGCCAUGCUCCCGAAUGCCAUCGCAUCUAGGCUGGGUAGUAAAGUCAAGCUGUCAUGGAAGCUUACGAGCAUUACAAAGGCGGACAACCAAGGAUAUGUAUUAGGUUAUGAAACACCAGAAGGACUUGUUUCAGUGCAGGCUAAAAGUGUUAUCAUGACCAUCCCGUCAUAUGUUGCUAGUGAUAUCUUGCGCCCACUUUCAAUUGAUGCAGCAGAUGCACUCUCAAAAUUCUAUUAUCCGCCAGUUGCUGCUGUAACUGUUUCAUAUCCAAAAGAAGCUAUUAGAAAAGAAUGCUUAAUUGAUGGGGAGCUCCAGGGUUUCGGCCAGUUGCAUCCACGUAGCCAAGGAGUCGAGACUUUAGGGACAAUAUAUAGCUCUUCUCUCUUUCCUAAUCGUGCUCCUGCUGGAAGAGUGUUACUUCUGAACUAUAUCGGGGGUUCUACAAAUACAGGGAUCGUCUCCAAGACUGAGAGUGACUUAGUAGGAGCCGUUGACCGUGACCUCAGAAAAAUGUUGAUAAACCCUAGAGCAGCAGACCCUUUAGCAUUAGGGGUUCGAGUGUGGCCACAAGCAAUACCACAGUUUUUGAUUGGGCACCUUGAUCGCCUUGCUGCUGCAAAAUCUGCACUGGGCCAAGGCGGCUACGACGGGUUGUUCCUAGGAGGAAACUACGUCGCAGGAGUUGCCUUGGGCCGAUGCAUCGAGGGUGCGUACGAGAGUGCCUCACAAGUAUCUGACUUCUUGACCAAGUAUGCCUACAAGUGAUGGAAGUAGUGCAUCUCUUCAUUUUGUUGCAUAUACGAGGUGAGGCUAGGAUCGGUAAAACAUCAUGAGAUUCUGUAGUGUUUCUUUAAUUGAAAAAACAAAUUUUAGUGAUGCAAUAUGUGCUCUUUCCUGUAGUUCGAGCAUGUACAUCGGUAUGGGAUAAAGUAGAAUAAGCUAUUCUGCAAAAGCAGUGAUUUUUUUUGAAGAUUUUGUUGUAUGCUAAGUAUUACUCCCUCUGAAAAGAAAUAGAAGAGCGUUAGAUCACUACUUUUAAUGAUCUAAAUGCUCUUAUAUUUCUUUACGAAGGGAGUAGAUCGCUUCAAUGUGCCGAGCAACAAUUUCCGCGGGAUUUUACAUAGCGCCAUCGAUUUCUUUGAUUAAACUUCGACAAUAAAUU